RNAcentral lists this transfer RNA (55 nucleotides) under Plasmopara halstedii. It matches the Rfam family "tRNA", at positions 10 to 63 of the family's 71-position model. Rfam says of the family: Transfer RNA (tRNA) molecules are approximately 80 nucleotides in length. The record is from Rfam by way of RNAcentral. Lineage: Eukaryota; Oomycota; Peronosporomycetes; Peronosporales; Peronosporaceae.
GUAUAGUGGUCAGUACCUCACCUUGUGGCGGUGAUAUCCCUGGUUCGAUUCCGGG